This is a long non-coding RNA of Diceros bicornis minor, 1789 nucleotides long. RefSeq lists it as uncharacterized. Lineage: Eukaryota; Metazoa; Chordata; Mammalia; Perissodactyla; Rhinocerotidae. The transcript has 4 exons. The record is from RefSeq and is a predicted model, not a curated record.
CUCUCUAAAGAAGGACUCCGUGAAGAAUUUGGAAGAGCAAGUGCCCCACUUCUACGUAUUCAUCUCUUCCCACUGAUGUGCGGUGCUCCCUCUGUAAUAAAUCAAGUGUCAGUGGACCCAACGAUGGCCUCGUGAUAAUUAGGAACCUGAGUGGCAGAGGAGAGUGGCAGAUGCUGACAGGGAAGAUGCAGGUUAUAGAGGAAAUUCACCCAAUCCAAGGGCAUGCAGACCUGGCUGACGCGGCUCUUUGGGCUUCAGAUUUACUGUUCAGUCCUGAUAGGAUCCUUGAGCAGUCACGCUAGGAGGAAAAGCAAGGGGAGAAUGGCAGGAGUGAGUCCAGGAGAGACGUGGAAGGGGGACGACCCUGCGGGACUUGCAGGCACAGAGGAGGAGAUUAGGACACAGACAUGCACAGACUGAGGGGCAACCAUAUGAGGACACAGCGAGCAAGUGGCCAUCUGCAAGCAAAGGAGAGAGGCCUCAAAGGAACUAAACCUGCUGACACCUUGAUCUUGAACUUCUACCCUCCAGAAUUAUGAGUAAUAAAUUUCUGUUGUUUAAGCCACCCACUCUGUGGUAUUUUGUUACGGCAGCUCUGGAAAACUAAGAUAACCACUCUUAGGGGAAAACAAUUUAUGUGCUUUGUUAUUCAAGUAGGAUAAUUUUAACACUGAUGACUUCUACCUUGAGAUUAUAAAAGGCAGUGAAAAACAUUAUGAUAGAGUGUAUGAAUUGUGUCCUUUGAAACAAAGCUAGUUAAUAAACACUUCUCAGCCGUAGGUGAUGCUGUGUGUCUCUCUGGACAGCAAGGGGAUAGGAGUGGAUGGGAGAACCUGCCUUCACACAAGCAGUUUCCUGGGUUGCCCUGAGCCUGACAAAGAGGGCUACAGCUUGGGCACUAGGAAGGCAGCAGCCACACAAGGCCUGGGGAGCCCAUAACUAAAUCGUGAAGGAAGAAUAUUAUUAGCCAGGCCCAGAUGCAUCAUUUCCUCCCUUCACUGCUCUUUUGUGAAAAAUUCUUCCAAAUACAUAUAUUUGUCCCCAAAUGUAGUGUUGGGUACUUUCCCUACUAGAAAGUUAGUGGAAAAUUUGUUUUUUAUCAAAUUUUUUCUUCAUCUCUUUUGGGUGAACUUUCAUGGUUGCAAAGUCACUCAGGAAAAAGUUCAUUUUCCCAAUACUUCCUCUGCACCUGUGACCCCCAAAAUUUUGUCUGACCUACAAUUUCAGGGAACUCAUCACCCAAGUGAACAGGUGCUUGAAUGUGACAUGAUGCUCUCGCGUCUUCUCUGUGGUCUUCCUGUGAAUUGUGGUCACCUCGCAGCGUUAAAGCAUCUCCAUGAGAAGCCCUGCAGGGGCUAUUCUCAGUUCUGGGUGUACUGUCUCCUGCUGGUUUCUCUGAAGUGCCGAGAAGCUGUCCUCUCUAUGCAAAAAACUGUUCUCACAAACUGCAUUUCAAUGAUUUGGCUUUAAUUCUCAAUUUGUUUCUGUUCCUAAGCUUUUAAGGCUUUUUACCAACCCAUAAGAAACAUCUUUGAAAAAAGAUAAUCCUCAGAUGUAACAUGCUAAGCUUUGACCUAGUAAGUCUUUAAGACUGAUGUUUUCCGAGGAACAAACCUUCUUCUUUGCUGUGCAAUAAUAGAGGAUCAAUAUAAAAAUAAGUACACAAAGUGAAAAAACCAACAAAAGUAUUGGUAUCUUCACAGCUAAAUUCUUAACAUAUUUUCUGAUAUAUAGGAAAAAGGAAAAUUGGCAAAUAUUUUAAAUAAGUACCAAUAUUUUAAAAAAUAAC